RNAcentral lists this ribosomal RNA (253 nucleotides) under uncultured prokaryote. RNAcentral describes it as "partial 16S ribosomal RNA". It matches the Rfam family "Bacterial small subunit ribosomal RNA", at positions 525 to 777 of the family's 1533-position model. The record is from RNAcentral.
ACGGAGGGUGCAAGCGUUGCUCGGAAUUAUUGGGCGUAAAGGGUAGGUAGGUGGUCUCAUUUGUCUCGUGUGAAAGCCUUGGGCUUAACCCAAGAAGUGCGCGAGAAACGGUGAGACUCGAGUACUGGAGAGGGUCGUGGAAUUCCCGGUGUAGCGGUGAAAUGCGUAGAGAUGCGGAGGAACACCGAUGGCGAAGGCAGCCCCCUGGGCUAACACUGACGCUCAGGCACAAAAGCGUGGGGAGCAAACAGGA